UUGACUCUACGACAGUUCUGCAAUGCUUGACAGGUUCAAAGAAUGGCAGCAUCCGCGGUAGAAGAUUGGUGCAAAAGAUUCGGGAGUUAAUCGAGCAACAAAUUGAAAUUCAAUUCAAGCAUGUAUAUAGAGAAGCAAAUCGGGUUGCGGACUAGUUAACAAACCUUGGAUGCAAUCUGGCCAAGGGAAGUACUUUGUUUGAGUUUUCACUUAGAGAAGUGC
RNAcentral lists this long non-coding RNA (222 nucleotides) under Trifolium pratense (red clover). RNAcentral's name for it is "long non-coding RNA (TPRA_LNC002816)". Lineage: Eukaryota; Viridiplantae; Streptophyta; Magnoliopsida; Fabales; Fabaceae. The record is from RNAcentral.